UUUAGGAUUUUUUUAUUAUUUUUCUUUGAAGUUAAUUUAUGACUUCUUUAUAUUUCUUUUGAAAUUUUUUUUAAUUUUUUUUGAAUUGAUUAAAGUUUGAUUAAGAUUAUUAAAGAUUACUUAGAAUUUAUUUAGGAUUCUAUCAAACUUGAUAGGAUCUUAUUGUUGCAUUUUUUAUUUACCUUCUACAAUUAAGAGCUUGAUGCAUUUUCAAGUAAGAUUUCAUGUUAUAU
This 233-nucleotide long non-coding RNA is filed under the name Physcomitrium patens. RNAcentral describes it as "long non-coding RNA (PPAT_LNC010299)". The record is from RNAcentral. Lineage: Eukaryota; Viridiplantae; Streptophyta; Bryopsida; Funariales; Funariaceae.